UACGGAGGGUGCGAGCGUUGUCCGGAAUCACUGGGCGUAAAGGGCGCGUAGGCGGCCUGAUAAGUAGGGGGUGAAAUCCUGCGGCUUAACCGGAGGGCUGCCUUCUAAACUGUCAGGCUGGAGCACAGUAGAGGCAGGUGGAAUUCCCGGUGUAGCGGUGGAAUGCGUAGAGAUCGGGAAGAACAUCAGUGGCGAAGGCGGCCUGCUGGGCUGUUGCUGACGCUGAGGCGCGACAGCGUGGGGAGCAAACAGG
This 253-nucleotide ribosomal RNA is filed under the name uncultured bacterium. RNAcentral's name for it is "partial 16S ribosomal RNA". It matches the Rfam family "Bacterial small subunit ribosomal RNA", at positions 524 to 776 of the family's 1533-position model. The record is from RNAcentral.